CAGCGCCACGAGUGGGGAUCCUGUUUAUUUGGCCUAAAGCGUUCGUAGCUUGUCUAGUAAAUCUUUUGUGAAAUCGUCCGGCUCAACCGGGCGGCGUGCAGGAGAGACUGCUAGGCUAGGGACUGGGAGGAGUCAGAGGUAUGCUCGGGGGAGCGGUAAAAUGCUAUAAUCCUGAGUAGACCACCUGUGGCGAAGGCGUCUGACUAGAACAGGUCCGACAGUGAGGGACGAAAGCCAGGGGAGCAAACCGGAUUAGAGACCCGAGUAGUCC
Molecule: ribosomal RNA, 271 nt
Filed under: uncultured archaeon
Lineage: Archaea
Description: partial 16S ribosomal RNA
Rfam family: Archaeal small subunit ribosomal RNA
Source: RNAcentral